CAAAGGCUUGGUCCUGACUUUACUAUCAACUUUAGCCAAACUUACACAUGCAAGUAUCCGCACCCCCGUGAGAAUGCCCCACAGUUCCCUGCCCGGGAACAAGGAGCUGGUAUCAGGCACAUUUAACUAUAAGCCCACGACACCUUGCUUAGCCACACCCUCAAGGGAACUCAGCAGUGAUAAACAUUAAGCCAUAAGUGAAAACUUGACUUAGUCAAGGCUAAGAGGGCCGGUAAAACUCNGNCCAGCCACNNNNCUCCUUGUUCCCGGGCAGGGAACUGGGGGGGCAUUCUCACGGGGGUGCGGAUACUUGCAUGUGUAAGUUUGGCUAAAGUUGAUAGUAAAGUCAGGACCAAGCCUUUGUGCUUACGGAACUUUCUAGGGCUCAUCUUAACAUCUUCAGUGUUAUGCUUUAAUUAAGCUACNUUAGCUUCNUGCAUUAUUUUAAUAAUGUAAAUAGACACAUUUUGGGCUCAAAAACGUACUAUCAGAGGUUUUCCUGUUUUC
This 507-nucleotide ribosomal RNA is filed under the name Kyphosus gladius. RNAcentral describes it as "partial 12S ribosomal RNA". Lineage: Eukaryota; Metazoa; Chordata; Actinopteri; Centrarchiformes; Kyphosidae. The record is from RNAcentral.